RNAcentral lists this ribosomal RNA (436 nucleotides) under uncultured bacterium. RNAcentral describes it as "bacterial SSU rRNA". It matches the Rfam family "Bacterial small subunit ribosomal RNA", at positions 365 to 793 of the family's 1533-position model. The record is from RNAcentral.
UUCACAAUGGGCGCAAGCCUGAUGGAGCAACACCGCGUGAGUGAAGAAGGGUUUCGGCUCGUAAAGCUCUGUUGUUAAAGAAGAACACGUAUGAGAGUAACUGUUCAUACGUUGACGGUAUUUAACCAGAAAGUCACGGCUAACUACGUGCCAGCAGCCGCGGUAAUACGUAGGUGGCAAGCGUUAUCCGGAUUUAUUGGGCGUAAAGAGAGUGCAGGCGGUUUUCUAAGUCUGAUGUGAAAGCCUUCGGCUUAACCGGAGAAGUGCAUCGGAAACUGGAUAACUUGAGUGCAGAAGAGGGUAGUGGAACUCCAUGUGUAGCGGUGGAAUGCGUAGAUAUAUGGAAGAACACCAGUGGCGAAGGCGGCUACCUGGUCUGCAACUGACGCUGAGACUCGAAAGCAUGGGUAGCGAACAGGAUUAGAUACCCUGGUAG